This 1314-nucleotide long non-coding RNA is filed under the name Sparus aurata (gilthead seabream). RNAcentral describes it as "lncRNA (ENSSAUG00010013877.1)". Lineage: Eukaryota; Metazoa; Chordata; Actinopteri; Spariformes; Sparidae. The record is from RNAcentral.
UUGGAACAUUUUAAGUUUAUAAAAGUAUACUUUAAGUAUACUUUGUAGGGUCAUUUUAAGUUUACAGAAGUACACUUUCAAGUAUACAACAAGUACACUCAUUACUCAUUACUACUAGUGUACUAAGUAUAUACUUCUAGUCCACAUUUUGUGGUGCUGGAGAAACUGGUUUUGGCCAAACUGAGGCCGCAGGUGAGAGCCCUGCUAGACCCUCUGCAAUUUGCUUACCAGCCCCACUUGGGAGUUGAUGACGCUGUCAUCUACCUGCUGCAACGAGCCCAUUCGCACCUGGAUGGUGGAGGAGGCACUGUGAGAAUCACAUUCUUUGAUUUCUCUAGUGCUUUUAACACCAUUCAGCCACUGCUACUGGGGGAGAAGCUGCGGGUGAUGGGUGUAGACGACACAAUGAUCUCCUGGAUUACUGACUGCCUGACAGGCAGGCCACAGUUUGUCCGUAUGGGCAGUGUUCUGUCUGAUGCGGUGGUUAGUGAUACAGGAGCUCCACAGGGGACUGUACUGUCUCCUUUCCUGUUCACCUUAUACACCACUGACUUUCAGUACAACACUGGGUCGUGUCACCUGCAAAAGUUUUCUGACGACUCGGCUGUUGUUGUGUGUAUAAGUGAGGGACAGGAGGAGGAGUACAGGGCACUGGUAGACAACUUUGUGGAGUGGACUGGACAAAAUCACCUGCGGCUGAACAUCAGCAAGACCAGAGAGAUGGUGAUAGAUUUCAGGAAGAAGAGGAAGACGGCUUUCCAACCACUGUGCAUUCUGGGAAGGGAUGUGGAGGCAGUGGAGGAUUACAAGUACCUGGGUGUUGCCAUCAACCACAGACUGGACUGGAGAUCUAACACUGAAGCUGUGUACAAGAAGGGGAUGAGCAGACUUUACUUCCUGAGGAAGCUGAGAUCCUUCAACGUGUGCAGCAAGAUGUUGGAGAUCUUUUAUCAGUCUGUGGUGGCCAGUGUACUUUUCUUUGCUGUGGUUUGUUGGGGAAGCAGCAUCGGAGCCAGCGACACCAACAGACUCAACAAACUGAUCAGGAAGGCUGGCUCUGUGAUUGGCUGCAAACAGGACACUCUGGAGGCUGUGGUGGAGAGGACGACACUGAAAAAACUGUUAUCCAUCAUGGAUAAUCCUCUCCACCCUCUCCAACUCACACUGGUCAGACAGCGGAGCACCUUCUCCGGAAGGCUGCUUCAGCUUCGCUGUCGUAGCAACAGAUACAGGAAAUCUUUCCUGCCACAAUCCAUCACUUUAUACAACAACUCUCUCACCUCUGUCUGACAGAGAACUCUGGUCUCUCUACUG